AAUAAUGUUUCCGCUUUGCGGAAAAUAACAUUGUGUGCACCAUUGUCUGUCUUUGGUAGUUCGAGUGCCCUUUUGAGGAAUUCCUUUGCGGGAACGACUUGAGGGCCUACCCUGUCGACUUUAUUGUCUUUGGGGUUGGGCUACCGCCCAUUUUUGUAAAACCUUUUGUAUGUUUUUUGUGUCUGAACGAAGAGUUAGUCUUUAUUGAUUAAUGAUUUGAAUA
This 223-nucleotide unclassified non-coding RNA is filed under the name uncultured fungus. RNAcentral's name for it is "sequence contains ITS1". The record is from RNAcentral. Lineage: Eukaryota; Fungi.